RNAcentral lists this ribosomal RNA (327 nucleotides) under uncultured bacterium. RNAcentral describes it as "bacterial SSU rRNA". It matches the Rfam family "Bacterial small subunit ribosomal RNA", at positions 568 to 898 of the family's 1533-position model. The record is from RNAcentral.
UGCGUAGGCGGCUUUUUAAGUCAGUGGUGAAAUCUUGCCGCUUAACGGUAAAAUUGCCAUUGAUACUGAAGAGCUUGAGUCCAGUUGAGGUAAGCGGAAUGUGUAGUGUAGCGGUGAAAUGCUUAGAUAUUACACAGAACACCAAUUGCGAAGGCAGCUUACUAAACUGUCACUGACGCUGAUGCACGAAAGCGUGGGGAGCGAACAGGAUUAGAUACCCUGGUAGUCCACGCCGUAAACGAUGCUCACUCGCUGUUUGCGAUACACAGCAAGCGGCCAAGCGAAAGCAUUAAGUGAGCCACCUGGGGAUACGAUCGCAAGGUUGAA